UUAAGAMUUAAAUUAAUUAAAUUAAGGUAUUAAUAGGUAUAUUCUUUAAAUCUAAAAAAAUUGGCGGUAUUUUAUCUAAUUAGGGGAAUUUGUUUAUUAAAUGAUAAUCCGCGAGAUACCUUACUUUUUAUAUAUUAAUUUGUAUACUUCCGUUUUCAGAAUAUUUUUAUAAAAUUUAAUAAUAUUCAAAAUUUUUUAUUAAAAAUUAUUUCAGGUCAAAGUGCAGUUUAUUAAAAAGUAUAAAUGAAUUACAAUAAAUUUAUUUAUUAUGAAUUUUAAAUUGAAAUAUUUAAAUGAAGGUGGACUUAAUAGUAAUUUUUAAAAUCAUUAAAUAUUGAAAAUAGAUCUAAAAUAUGU
RNAcentral lists this ribosomal RNA (357 nucleotides) under Acordulecera sp. Sus144. RNAcentral's name for it is "partial 12S ribosomal RNA". Lineage: Eukaryota; Metazoa; Arthropoda; Insecta; Hymenoptera; Pergidae. The record is from RNAcentral.